AGAUACAUAAUUAGGUGAUAUUCCUCUCUGACCACUGAAGAAUUCAUCUGGAUUAUGACUGAGUUCUAAUUUUGCUAAAUGAUUAGUCCCAUCUCUUUAGCGCCAAGAAGAGAAACUCUAUGGAACACAACGAGGAGAGAAGGGUAAGAAAGUGUGGAGUGAUGAGAAGUCUUCUGUUAACUAGGAGCUUUGGAAUAUGAAAGGCUCCUCUGGGAUGUGUCGGGAUGGAAGCGAAGUGUGAUCCGUGGGCAGAAUUUCUUCUUCAAGGAAAGCCCAAUACUAUUCUUCAGUCCUUUCAAGUGACUGGGCCAUCCCCAGAUUAUCCAGAGUAAUCCUCUUCCCUGAGAACCAUCUGACUUCAGAUGAUAAUCACAUCAAAAAUCCUUCAAAGAAAAACAUAGAUUGAUGUUUGAUUGAAUAAGUGUACUACAGAUUCUCUGGGCGCCUCCCCAAGCAGUAAACAUGAAGUUAUC
Molecule: non-coding RNA, 473 nt
Organism: Rattus norvegicus (Norway rat)
Lineage: Eukaryota; Metazoa; Chordata; Mammalia; Rodentia; Muridae
Source: RefSeq, a predicted model, not a curated record